Molecule: ribosomal RNA, 450 nt
Filed under: uncultured bacterium
Lineage: Bacteria
Description: partial 16S ribosomal RNA
Rfam family: Bacterial small subunit ribosomal RNA
Source: RNAcentral
CCUACGGGUGGCUGCAGUAAGGAAUAUUGGUCAAUGGACGCAAGUCUGAACCAGCCAUGCCGCGUGGAGGAUGAAGGUCCUCUGGAUUGUAAACUUCUUUUAUCUGGGACGAAAAAGGGUCUUUCUAGAUCAACUGACGGUACCAGAUGAAUAAGCACCGGCUAACUCCGUGCCAGCAGCCGCGGUAAUACGGAGGGUGCAAGCGUUAUCCGGAUUCACUGGGUUUAAAGUGUGUUGGGGUGUCUUGGUAGAAAUCCCCGAGCUUAACUUGGGAACUGCCAUUGAUACUAUCAGUCUUGAAUAUUGUGGAGGUUAGCGGAAUAUGUCAUGUAGCGGUGAAAUGCUUAGAUAUGACAUAGAACACCAAUUGCGAAGGCAGCUGGCUACGCAUAUAUUGACACUGAGGCACGAAAGCGUGGGGAUCAAACAGGAUUAGAUACCCCAGUAGUC